Molecule: long non-coding RNA, 292 nt
Organism: Esox lucius (northern pike)
Lineage: Eukaryota; Metazoa; Chordata; Actinopteri; Esociformes; Esocidae
Source: Ensembl
CUCAAUCUUUCUCUUCUAGAUCUGACAGUUUUGAGCUGGGUCAUAUUCCAGGAAGUGACUGUUAUAGAGACCUACAUCUCUACACUAAGGUUAGGUGUCAUAGUAAGAGGAAAUACUCAGUGAAGAGAAGAUUAAUGAAUAAAAGGGAAACCAGAGGACAUUCUAGGAGAAAAUCUCAACUAAUAACCUCAGAAGGAAUCUAACUUAAACCAAGUCUUGGAAAGCUCAAACACAUUGGAUGUGGAUUUCUAUCUAGAAAUUAGAUUACACUGGGCAUAUAUAUAUUUGGACA